AGAGUUGAUCCUGGCUCAGGAUGAACGCUGGCGGUCUGCUUAACACAUGCAAGUCGAACGGGAUCCUUCGGGAUUUAGUGGCGGACGGGUGAGUAACGCGUGAGAAUCUGCCCUUAGGUUGGGGACAACAGUUGGAAACGACUGCUAGUACCCAAUGUGCCGAGAGGUGAAAGGUUAACUGCCUGGGGAUGAGCUCGCGUCUGAUUAGCUAGUUGGAGUGGUAACGGCACACCAAGGCGACGAUCAGUAGCUGGUCUGAGAGGAUGAUCAGCCACACUGGGACUGAGACACGGCCCAGACUCCUACGGGAGGCAGCAGUGGGGAAUUUUCCGCAAUGGGCGAAAGCCUGACGGAGCAAGACCGCGUGAGGGAGGAAGGCCUAUUGGUUGUAAACCUCUUUUGAUAGGGAAGAACACAAUGACGGUACCUAUCGAAUCAGCAUCGGCUAACUCCGUGCCAGCAGCCGCGGUAAUACGGAGGAUGCAAGCGUUAUCCGGAUUUAUUGGGCGUAAAGCGUCCGUAGGUGGCAAACCAAGUCAGUUGUUAAAGCGUAGAGCUUAACUCUAUAAGGGCAAUUGAAACUGGUUAGCUAGAGUGCGAUAGGGGCAAGGGGAAUUCCCAGUGUAGCGGUGAAAUGCGUAGAUAUUGGGAAGAACACCGGUGGCGAAAGCGCUCGACUGGGCCUGAACUGACACUGAGGGACGAAAGCUAGGGGAGCGAAAGGGAUUAGAUACCCCUGUAGUCCU
This 746-nucleotide ribosomal RNA is filed under the name cyanobacterium enrichment culture clone 2_16_2.1.4_F07-T7. Its description in RNAcentral is "bacterial SSU rRNA". It matches the Rfam family "Bacterial small subunit ribosomal RNA", at positions 8 to 797 of the family's 1533-position model. Lineage: Bacteria; Bacillati; Cyanobacteriota. The record is from RNAcentral.